GGUGUGUACAUACUUAUAUUAUGCAGUUGACGUAUCCAUCCUUACUUUUUUCCUCCCUGUACAGGUCCACACUUUUCGUACUGCUAAAAUCCGGAAGGGUAGCAGCGAAACAGCGAAACUCCAGGAUUGUGGCAUAAGGGUUACUACUUCAACCGGGCAUGCUCAGUCGCCGGGCAGAUUUUUCGGUGAAGUGGAAACUACAACAGAGCGUACAGUGCGUGGGGAGUUGGGCGUGCCCUCGUGGAAUUUAGAACGUUGUCGUAGCCAAUAGGGCCUCGCGGCUGGUUGCCUUAAGUCCUCAUUGGAGGAGCCAGAAGGCGAGAGAGUAGAGGACCCAGAAGGGAGCCGCGGAGGUGCGGGUCGGAGAGGCCGCGGUACGCGGUGCCCUGCGCGUUAGGAAUUGCAGCGGCGGUGUCAGCAUCCAGCGGUGGUAGCAGCAGUUCCAGCCGGUUGCUUUACUUUUUGCUGCACGAACACAGCCAUAAUGCCGAAGAGAAAGCCCAGAGUCCUGGAUUGCUACCUGGACAGAAGUAGCCACAAAUUAAACACAGCUGCCAUGAUCUUCCCAUCUUUCAGUCAGACCUUAGAGAUGCACCACGGAAUCCUGGAGUUCACUGGAUCUUACAUUGGAAACUACUGUCAUCAGGUAAAGCCUCACUAGAUGUGGGGGGGGGGGUAGUGCUGGGGUAACUGCCAAAGCAUUUGUGUACUACUCCACAAUAUUUUUCCUGACUAAAGAACUUCCCAUUCUACAUUUUAAUAAGCUUUAAAAGUGCCCCAUAAUUUUUUUUUUUGCCACCUUAGCUCCUUUUUCCACCG
Molecule: long non-coding RNA, 819 nt
Filed under: Dasypus novemcinctus (nine-banded armadillo)
Lineage: Eukaryota; Metazoa; Chordata; Mammalia; Cingulata; Dasypodidae
Description: lncRNA (ENSDNOG00000050049.1)
Source: RNAcentral